GAUGAACGCUGGCGGCGUGCUUAACACAUGCAAGUCGAACGGUGAAGGUGGGAGCUUGCUCCUGCUGGAUCAGUGGCGAACGGGUGAGUAACACGUGAGUAACCUGCCCCGGACUCUGGGAUAAGCGUUGGAAACGACGUCUAAUACCGGAUACGAGACAAGAAGGCAUCUUCAUCGUCUGGAAAGAUUUUUUGGUCUGGGAUGGACUCGCGGCCUAUCAGGUUGUUGGUGAGGUAAUGGCUCACCAAGCCUACGACGGGUAGCCGGCCUGAGAGGGUGACCGGGCACACUGGGACUGAGACACGGCCCAGACUUCUCCGGGAGGCAGAAGGGGGGAAUAUUGCACAAUGGGCGAAAACCUGAUGCAGCAACGCCGCGUGAGGGACGACGGCCUUCGUGUUGUAAACCUCUUUUAGUAGGGAAGAAGCGAAAGUGACGGUACCUGCAGAAAAAGCACCGGCUAACUACGUGCCAGCCGCCGCGGAAA
This 487-nucleotide ribosomal RNA is filed under the name uncultured bacterium. RNAcentral describes it as "partial 16S ribosomal RNA". It matches the Rfam family "Bacterial small subunit ribosomal RNA", at positions 28 to 523 of the family's 1533-position model. The record is from RNAcentral.